CAGUAGCCGCGGUAAUGCGUAGGUCCCGAGCGUUGUCCGGAUUUAUUGGGCGUAAAGGGAGCGCAGGCGGUUUAGUAAGUCUGAAGUUAAAGGCAUUGGCUCAACCAAUGUAUGCUUUGGAAACUGUUAGACCUGAGCGCAGAAGGGGAGAGUGGAAUUCCAUGUGUAGCGGUGAAAUGCGUAGAUAUAUGGAGGAACACCGGUGGCGAAAGCGGCUCUCUGGUCUGUCACUGACGCUGAGGCUCGAAAGCGUGGGUAGCGAACAGGAUUAGAUACCCGGGUAGUCCCUGUCUCUUAUACC
This 301-nucleotide ribosomal RNA is filed under the name uncultured bacterium. RNAcentral's name for it is "partial 16S ribosomal RNA". It matches the Rfam family "Bacterial small subunit ribosomal RNA", at positions 509 to 808 of the family's 1533-position model. The record is from RNAcentral.